RNAcentral lists this ribosomal RNA (379 nucleotides) under Clostridioides difficile. RNAcentral describes it as "bacterial SSU rRNA". It matches the Rfam family "Bacterial small subunit ribosomal RNA", at positions 1 to 387 of the family's 1533-position model. Lineage: Bacteria; Bacillati; Bacillota; Clostridia; Peptostreptococcales; Peptostreptococcaceae. The record is from RNAcentral.
UUUUAUUUGAGAGUUUGAUCCUGGCUCAGGAUGAACGCUGGCGGCGUGCCUAACACAUGCAAGUUGAGCGAUUUACUUCGGUAAAGAGCGGCGGACGGGUGAGUAACGCGUGGGUAACCUACCCUGUACACACGGAUAACAUACCGAAAGGUAUGCUAAUACGGGAUAAUAUAUUUGAGAGGCAUCUCUUAAAUAUCAAAGGUGAGCCAGUACAGGAUGGACCCGCGUCUGAUUAGCUAGUUGGUAAGGUAACGGCUUACCAAGGCGACGAUCAGUAGCCGACCUGAGAGGGUGAUCGGCCACAUUGGAACUGAGACACGGUCCAAACUCCUACGGGAGGCAGCAGUGGGGAAUAUUGCACAAUGGGCGAAAGCCUGAU